AUUUAAAUAGUUUAAUAAAAAUAUUGAUUUGUGGUGUCAAUGAUAUGAAAUAUUUCAUUUUAGAUC
This 66-nucleotide transfer RNA is filed under the name Ochlerotatus sticticus. RNAcentral's name for it is "tRNA-His". The record is from RNAcentral. Lineage: Eukaryota; Metazoa; Arthropoda; Insecta; Diptera; Culicidae. RNAcentral also lists the same sequence under 3 other names.